Molecule: non-coding RNA, 129 nt
Organism: Cucumis sativus (cucumber)
Lineage: Eukaryota; Viridiplantae; Streptophyta; Magnoliopsida; Cucurbitales; Cucurbitaceae
Source: Rfam
UGGAGAAGAGUUUAUCAAUUUGGCCAAAAAUGAUUGCCUGAUAUACAAACGUCUAAUACAAGCUCUACAACACAUAGUUUGCAUAGUAGGCAAGUCAUUUUUGGCCAUCAUCGAGUAAAACUCUUCCCU